This 622-nucleotide ribosomal RNA is filed under the name uncultured marine bacterium. RNAcentral's name for it is "bacterial SSU rRNA". It matches the Rfam family "Bacterial small subunit ribosomal RNA", at positions 879 to 1501 of the family's 1533-position model. The record is from RNAcentral.
AGUACGGCCGCAAGGUUAAAACUCAAAUGAAUUGACGGGGGCCCGCACAAGCGGUGGAGCAUGUGGUUUAAUUCGAUGCAACGCGAAGAACCUUACCUGGUCUUGACAUCCACGGAGGUUUUCAGAGAUGAGAAUGUGCCUUCGGGAACCGUGAGACAGGUGCUGCAUGGCUGUCGUCAGCUCGUGUUGUGAAAUGUUGGGUUAUGUCCCGCAACGAGCGCAACCCUUAUCCUUUGUUGCCAGCGGUCCGGCCGGGAACUCAAAGGAGACUGCCAGUGAUAAACUGGAGGAAGGUGAGGAUGACGUCAAGUCAUCAUGGCCCUUACGACCAGGGCUACACACGUGCUACAAUGGCGCAUACAAAGAGAAGCGACCUCGCGAGAGCAAGCGGACCUCAUAAAGUGCGUCGUAGUCCGGAUUGGAGUCUGCAACUCGACUCCAUGAAGUCGGAAUCGCUAGUAAUCGUGGAUCAGAAUGCCACGGUGAAUACGUUCCCGGGCCUUGUACACACCGCCCGUCACACCAUGGGAGUGGGUUGCAAAAGAAGUAGGUAGCUUAACCUUCGGGAGGGCGCUUACCACUUUGUGAUUCAUGACUGGGGUGAAGUCGUAACAAGGUAACC